CACAGUUUAACAUGAUGGACUAUAGGACAGGACUGCUGCUUUUAACUCUCUGCUGGGCAGGUGUUGAUGGUCAGACUCUGACUGAAUCUGAACCAGUGGUUAAAAGACCUGGAGAAUCUCACAGACUGACCUGUACAGCCUCUGGAUUCACAUUCAGCAGCUACCACAUGGCCUGGGUCAGACAGGCUCCUGGAAAAGGACUGGAGUGGGUUGCCUGGAUUUAUAGUAGUGCUGGUAGCAGCACACACUACUCUCAGUCAGUCCGAGGCCGGUUUACCAUCUCCAGAGACAACAGCAGACAGCAGCUGUAUCUGCAGAUGAACAGUCUGAAGACUGAAGAUUCUGCUGUUUAUUAUUGUGCUCGAGAUCCACACAGUGACUGAAGCUGGUUGCGCAGCUGUACAAAAUCCUACAAUCCUUUCAGGCUGGUCGAGCCCAAGCAUUAAGAAUGUUUUUGUAAUAUUCAUAGUAUAUUUCAGAUAUUUCUUUUAAUUUUUAAUUGUUUUAUUCUAUGUAAUUUAUUACAUAAUAAUUUAUGUAAUAUGUACACAAUUUUCAAAUAAAAAUAAAUCACUCUUUGUCCCUGCAUUCAAGAAAUUCCUG
Non-coding RNA from Toxotes jaculatrix (banded archerfish), 603 nucleotides. The record is from the annotation of a RefSeq genome assembly. NCBI's taxonomy places the organism in Eukaryota, Metazoa, Chordata, Actinopteri, Toxotidae.